This 79-nucleotide non-coding RNA is filed under the name Anaerocolumna aminovalerica. RNAcentral describes it as "Cyclic di-GMP-I riboswitch". It matches the Rfam family "c-di-GMP-I riboswitch aptamer". From Rfam's summary of the family: GEMM was predicted in a large-scale screen for bacterial structured RNA regulatory elements. Genes associated with GEMM are involved in a diverse array of functions, including chemotaxis regulation, signal transduction, secretion and chitin. Lineage: Bacteria; Bacillati; Bacillota; Clostridia; Lachnospirales; Lachnospiraceae. The record is from RNAcentral.
CGAUAAUAGCAAAUUUAGUGAAAACUAGAGACGCAAAGCUAUAGGGCCUUCCUUAUAAAAGAUGGCAGCCAGUUACCGA